This 68-nucleotide transfer RNA is filed under the name Alistipes senegalensis. It matches the Rfam family "tRNA". Rfam says of the family: Transfer RNA (tRNA) molecules are approximately 80 nucleotides in length. Their secondary structure includes four short double-helical elements and three loops (D, anti-codon, and T loops). Further hydrogen bonds mediate the characteristic L-shaped molecular structure. tRNAs have two regions of fundamental functional importance: the anti-codon, which is responsible for specific mRNA codon recognition, and the 3' end, to which the tRNAs corresponding amino acid is attached (by aminoacyl-tRNA synthetases). tRNAs cope with the degeneracy of the genetic code in two manners: having more than one tRNA (with a specific anti-codon) for a particular amino acid; and 'wobble' base-pairing, i.e. permitting non-standard base-pairing at the 3rd anti-codon position. RNAcentral also lists the same sequence under 5 other names. The record is from RNAcentral. Lineage: Bacteria; Pseudomonadati; Bacteroidota; Bacteroidia; Bacteroidales; Rikenellaceae.
GGAUGUAGCUCAGUUGGUUAGAGCGUCGGAUUGUGGUUCCGAAGGUCGAGGGUUCGAGCCCCUUCUUC